Molecule: ribosomal RNA, 559 nt
Filed under: Ceriporiopsis subrufa
Lineage: Eukaryota; Fungi; Basidiomycota; Agaricomycetes; Polyporales; Meruliaceae
Description: eukaryotic LSU rRNA
Rfam family: Eukaryotic large subunit ribosomal RNA
Source: RNAcentral
GAUUCCCCUAGUAACUGCGAGUGAAGCGGGAAAAGCUCAAAUUUAAAAUCUGGCAGCAUUUUGUUGUCCGAGUUGUAGUCUGGAGAAGCGCUUUCUGUGCUGGACCGUGUACAAGUCUCUUGGAAUAGAGCGUCAUAGAGGGUGAGAAUCCCGUCUUUGACACGGAUUGCCAGUGCUUUGUGAUGCGCUCUCAAAGAGUCGAGUUGUUUGGGAAUGCAGCUCAAAAUGGGUGGUAAAUUCCAUCUAAAGCUAAAUAUUGGCGAGAGACCGAUAGCGAACAAGUACCGUGAGGGAAAGAUGAAAAGCACUUUGGAAAGAGAGUUAAACAGUACGUGAAAUUGCUGAAAGGGAAACGCUUGAAGUCAGUCAUGUUUGGCAGAACUCAGCCUGGCAUUUAUUUGCUUGGUGCAUUUUCUGUUGAACAGGCCAGCAUCAAUUUUGACUGUUGGAUAAAGGCCUGGGGAAUGUGGCACCUUUGGGUGUGUUAUAGCCUCGGGUUGUAUACAAUGGUUGGGAUUGAGGAAUGCAGCAUGCCUUUAUGGUUGGGAUUUAUCCACAU